This is an RNA transcript of Mus musculus (house mouse), 5262 nucleotides long. It is a transcript of the gene named phosphatidylinositol transfer protein, membrane-associated 1, with no coding region annotated. NCBI's taxonomy places the organism in Eukaryota, Metazoa, Chordata, Mammalia, Rodentia, Muridae. The record is from RefSeq and is marked validated. The transcript has 23 exons.
GCAGUGACGCGGCGGGGAGGGACAGCAGGGGCGCCGGCGGGCAGACCGGGAAAAAGGUCGGGGCUAUGGGCCGGCUCCGCGCCUCCAGAGGGUCGGGCUCCAUCUGGAAACCGAGGCCGGGACUGGGGGCACAACGGACUCCCACCUUGGGGUCGACCACCCCUGCCCCGGUUGGGUGAGGGGCGCCCACCAGAAGCUAGAGGUGAGCGGGGACGUCGGUGAGCGGGCGGGUCAAGAGCACGUCUGGCGACAGGGACAAGGAGCUGAGGGAAGUGAGGACAGAGGGCCUCUCGCCUGCCCGCUGGGUGCAAGGUGGGGGUGGAGGGGUGUCUGCAGCGGAACUGUGGCGCCAUGCCGGGACGCAGGUGGGCAGAGUGGGCCUCCCAGGGCGGAGGCCAGAGGGAUACCAGUGGACCGCUCCUACACCAGCCUGGAAUGGGCAACCUCGUGGGAAGAUGAUGGGGUGGCUGUAAGGACGAAUGGAAACUCAGCGAAAACCAAGGGUACAUACAGUUCAGGAACCGGGUACCUUCUAGGGUGGUAAAAGCAGGUUUUGGGAGGGGGGGACGGACGGAGGUUUUGUUUUGUUUUUUUCUUCUGGCACCGUAAGGUAAGUUAGUAUUAGCAGAGUUGCAGAGGCCCAUUGGGGGUCGCUUCCUGAAAGAUAUCUUGGCGGACAAGGGUCUAGGUGAACGUCUAGGAGUGGAGUACACAGAACCCCACCGACUUCAGGGGAUGAAAUGGUGAAGGGGGCGGGUCCCUAAGGUUCUGGUCUUGGAAGCCAGGCGCGGCCCGGAGGGAUGCUGUUUCGGGAUGCGACCUCGGUGCAGACGCGAGGAUGGCCUUGCGGCGUGUCGGCUCGCGUCCGCCGCUCUGGGGGGCCCGCGUCAGCGCGCGGUUGCCAUGACGACAGGCAGGCGGGGGGCGGGGGCUGCGUGGAAAAGAGGUCAGCUCUGAGCCUUUCUACUGCUCUGGGCUCCGCGGUGCGGGAGGCAACACUGGGUUCGCCUCUGCCUCCCCCGCGGCGGGCCCGGCCAUGGGGUUCCGCGGCCCGAGCCCCUCCGCAGGCGUGCAGGGCUCAGUACCGCGCACCACCGUCCUGCACUGACUGCCGCGCGGUACCCUGCGCUAGGAGGAGCAGAGGCCGCACGCGGUCAGCGGAGCGUCUUCAGGAUGCUUAUCAAGGAGUACCACAUCCUGCUGCCCAUGAGCCUGGACGAGUAUCAAGUGGCCCAGCUCUACAUGAUCCAGAAAAAGAGCCGUGAGGAGUCUAGUGGUGAGGGCAGCGGCGUGGAGAUCCUGGCCAACCGGCCCUACACAGAUGGGCCUGGAGGCAACGGGCAGUAUACACACAAGGUGUACCACGUGGGCUCCCACAUCCCAGGCUGGUUCCGGGCACUGUUACCCAAGGCUGCUCUGCAGGUAGAAGAGGAAUCUUGGAACGCUUACCCAUAUACCCGGACACGGUACACCUGCCCCUUUGUGGAGAAGUUCUCCAUUGAGAUAGAGACCUACUACUUGCCUGAUGGGGGGCAGCAACCUAACGUCUUCAACCUGAGUGGGGCUGAGAGAAGACAGAGAAUCGUGGAUACCAUCGACAUCGUGCGGGAUGCAGUGGCCCCAGGAGAAUACAAAGCGGAAGAGGACCCUCGGCUGUACCGCUCAGCCAAGACAGGCCGAGGGCCGCUGGCUGAUGACUGGGCACGGACAGCGGCCCAGACAGGACCUCUCAUGUGUGCCUAUAAGCUGUGCAAGGUUGAAUUCCGCUACUGGGGCAUGCAGGCCAAGAUUGAGCAGUUCAUCCAUGACGUAGGUCUGCGCAGGGUGAUGCUUCGCGCCCAUCGCCAGGCCUGGUGUUGGCAAGAUGAGUGGAUAGAACUGAGCAUGGCUGACAUCCGGGCACUGGAGGAGGAGACUGCACGCAUGCUAGCGCAGCGUAUGGCUAAGUGCAACACUGGCAGUGAGGGACCAGAGGCUCAGACCCCUGGGAAAUCCAGCACUGAGGCCCGACCUGGGACCAGCACUGCUGGCACCCCUGAUGGACCUGAGGCCCCUCCCGGCCCCGACGCCUCCCCAGAUGCCAGCUUUGGGAAGCAGUGGUCCUCAUCCUCCCGUUCCUCCUACUCAUCCCAACAUGGAGGCGGCGUGUCUCCACAGAGCUUGUCUGAGUGGCGCAUGCAGAACAUUGCCCGAGACUCUGAGAACAGCUCCGAGGAAGAAUUCUUUGAUGCCCAUGAAGGUUUCUCGGACAGUGAUGAGGUCUUCCCCAAGGAGAUGACCAAGUGGAAUUCCAAUGAUUUUAUCGAUGCCUUUGCCUCCCCAACCGAGGUGGAGGGGGUACCAGAUCCUACAGUCAUGGCUACCAAAGGCAUUGAAGAUGGGGCCCGAGCUCCCAGGGACUCAGAGGGCCUAGAUGGAGCGGGGGAUCUAGUGGUCGAGGCGUGCUCUGUGCAUGCCCUCUUCCUCAUCCUGCACAGCGGCAGCAUCCUGGACUCUGGCCCUGGAGACACCAACUCCAAGCAGGCCGACGUGCAAACGCUGAGCACAGCCUUUGAGGCCGUCACCCGAGUCCAUUUCCCCGAGGCCCUGGGUCACGUGGCACUGCGGCUGGUGCCCUGUCCACCCAUUUGCGCGGCUGCCUAUGCUCUUGUCUCCAACCUGAGCCCCUACAGCCAUGAUGGGGAUAGCCUGUCCCGCUCCCAAGACCACAUUCCGCUGGCUGCCCUGCCGCUCCUGGCCACCUCAUCCUCUCGCUACCAGGGUGCCGUGGCCACUGUCAUCGCUCGCACCAACCAGGCCUAUGCAGCCUUCCUGCGCUCAUCGGAGGGCACAGGUUUCUGCGGGCAGGUGGUGCUGAUCGGAGAUGGUGUUGGUGGCAUCCUGGGCUUUGAUGCGCUCUGCCACAGUGCCAGUGCAGGCCCAGGGAGUCGGGGCAGCAGCCGCCGUGGGAGCAUGGUCAGUGUGGCCAAACCCAGCCUCCUCAGGAGGGGGGUUGUCUCCAUCUCUAGAACAAUGAGAUGCUCUCCCCUGAAGUUGGUCCAGUACGGGACCCGCUGGCAGAUGGGGUGGAGGUACUGGGUCGUGCUAGCCCAGAACCCUCAGCCCUACCUGCUCAGCGUACCUUCAGUGACAUGGCCAAUCCUGAUCCUGAUGGCUCUCAGAACAGCCUCCAGGUAGCCUCCACAGCUACCUCCUCUGGGGAGCCCCGCCGUGCAAGCACAGCCUCCUGUCCACCUGCCAGUUCUGAGGCUCCUGACGGCCCCACGAACGCUGCUCGCCUGGACUUCAAGGUCUCAGGCUUCUUCCUCUUUGGCUCCCCACUGGGCCUGGUGCUGGCUCUUCGCAAAACCGUGAUGCCCGCCUUGGAGGUGGCUCAGCUGCGUCCAGCCUGCGAGCAGAUCUACAAUCUCUUCCAUGCCGCUGACCCCUGUGCCUCCCGCCUGGAACCCCUGCUGGCCCCCAAGUUCCAGGCCAUCGCCCCCCUGGCUGUACCUCGUUACCAGAAGUUUCCCCUAGGAGACGGCUCGUCCUUGCUGCUGGCUGACACUUUGCAAACCCAUUCGAGUCUCUUCCUGGAAGAGCUGGAGAUGAUGGUGCCCUCCACACCCACCUCGGCCAGUGGUGCCUUCUGGAAGGGCAGUGAACUAGGCAAUGAGCCAGCAUCCCAGACAGCAGCCCCCAGCACCACCAGCGAGGUUGUUAAGAUCCUGGACCGCUGGUGGGGAAACAAGCGGAUCGACUAUUCACUGUACUGCCCCGAGGCACUCACGGCCUUCCCCACGGUCACGCUGCCCCACCUCUUCCACGCCAGCUACUGGGAAUCAGCGGAUGUAGUGGCCUUCAUUCUGCGCCAGGUCAUUGAGAAGGAGCGGCCACAGCUGACAGAGUGUGAGGAGCCAUCCAUCUAUAGCCCCGCCUUCCCCAGGGAGAAGUGGCAGCGCAAACGCACACAGGUCAAGAUCCGGAACGUCACUUCCAACCACCGAGCGAGUGACACCGUGGUAUGUGAGGGCCGUCCCCAGGUGCUGAAUGGGCGCUUCAUGUAUGGACCAUUGGAUGUGGUCACGCUCACUGGAGAGAAGGUGGAUGUCUACGUCAUGACACAGCCACUGUCAGGCAAGUGGAUCCACUUUGGCACAGAGGUCACUAACAGCUCAGGCCGUCUCACCUUCCCAGUGCCCUCAGAACGUGCACUGGGCAUUGGUGUCUACCCUGUGCGCAUGGUGGUCAGGGGAGACCACACCUAUGCCGAGUGCUGUCUGACUGUGGUGUCCCGAGGCACAGAAGCUGUGGUCUUCAGCAUCGAUGGUUCUUUCACUGCCAGUGUCUCUAUCAUGGGCAGCGACCCCAAGGUGCGCGCUGGCGCAGUGGACGUGGUCAGGCACUGGCAGGACUCUGGCUACUUGAUUGUGUAUGUAACUGGCCGGCCUGACAUGCAAAAGCACCGUGUAGUGGCCUGGCUGUCGCAACACAACUUCCCCCAUGGUGUUGUCUCCUUCUGUGAUGGCCUCACCCACGACCCGCUGCGGCAGAAAGCCAUGUUUCUGCAGAGCCUGGUGCAAGAGGGAUACCCCUGAAACACUUGUGGGGGAUGCAUGCCACAUCCUUGGCUCUAUGGCUCUACGGGCUGCUGACCGGCUUUUCAACGCAGGUAGAACUGAACAUCGUGGCUGGAUAUGGGUCACCAAAAGAUGUGGCAGUGUAUGCAGCACUGGGGCUCUCUCCGAGCCAGACCUACAUUGUUGGCCGUGCUGUGCGCAAACUGCAGGCACAGUGUCAGUUCCUGUCAGAUGGCUAUGUGGCCCACUUGGGCCAGCUGGAGGCAGGCUCCCACUCCCAUGCUCCCUCAGGACCUCCGAGAGCCGCUCUGGCCAAGAGUAGCUAUGCUGUGGCUGCCCCUGUGGACUUCCUCCGGAAGCAGAGCCAGCUGCUUCGAUCCAGAGGCCCUAGCCAGGUGGACCGUGAGGGUCCAGGAACACCUCCCACCACCCUGGCCAGGGGCAAGACUCGCAGCAUCAGCCUCAAGUUGGACAGUGAAGAGUGAGGGAACCUUGGCUGCAACUGGGUUAUUUAUUGACUCGCAAGGGGCCUUGGUGACUGUGGGAAUCUGGGGCCCCCACACCCUGUAUGACUACACCACAGUAUUACUUCCCUUUGUCGGGGGUAGGGGACCCAGCCCCCAGGGGAGGAAGGAGGGAGUGGGUUAGGGCCCAGCAGCGUUUCCAGUGUGUGAACCUAUAAAAAUAAACAACUGCACUCUAC